AGUACAUCCUUGACAUAAGCAUGAAAGCUAGGUGGGCUUGGGGCUUGGGUUGACAUGCAAGGAGAAACAGUGAGGAGCCACCAACGGUGAUGGGCUCCAGUGCCCUGAGUGAUUUCCAUGUAGAAGGGAUGGUGGCCACGCUGGCGACAUGUAGAGACAUGGUGGGAUCACCCCCUA
Molecule: small RNA, 177 nt
Filed under: Neogale vison (American mink)
Lineage: Eukaryota; Metazoa; Chordata; Mammalia; Carnivora; Mustelidae
Description: Neovison vison (American mink) Pvt1 onco conserved region 1 (ENSNVIG00000022437.1)
Source: RNAcentral